Molecule: unclassified non-coding RNA, 241 nt
Filed under: Ascomycota sp.
Lineage: Eukaryota; Fungi; Ascomycota
Description: partial contains small subunit ribosomal RNA, internal transcribed spacer 1, and 5.8S ribosomal RNA
Rfam family: Eukaryotic small subunit ribosomal RNA (bases 1-47)
Source: RNAcentral
AAAGUCGUAACAAGGUCUCCGUUGGUGAACCAGCGGAGGGAUCAUUAUCGAGUGUAAAACUCACCAACCCAUGUGAACAUACCUUCUGUUGCUUCGGCGGGAUCGCCCCGGGCUCCUCUGUGCUGCCCCGGAAUCAGGCGCCCGCCGGGGGAAUCAAACUUUUGUCUUUAUAGUGAUUUUCUGAGUGGCUCUUUGAGCAAAAAAUAAAUCAAAACUUUCAACAAUGGAUCUCUUGGUUCUG